GCAAAACGCGAAGAACCUUACCUACUCUUGACAUCCAGAGAACUUGGCAGAGAUGCUUUGGUGCCUUCGGGAACUCUGGGACAGGUGCUGCAUGGCUGUCGUCAGCUCGUGUUGUGAAAUGUUGGGUUAGGUCCCGCAACGAGCGCAACCCUUAUCCUUUGUUGCCAGCGGUCCGGCCGGGAACUCAAAGGAGACUGCCAGUGAUAAACUGGAGGAAGGUGGGGAUGACGUCAAGUCAUCAUGGCCCUUACGAGUAGGGCUACACACGUGCUACAAUGGCGCAUACAAAGAGAAGCGACCUCGCGAGAGCAAGCGGACCUCAUAAAGUGCGUCGUAGUCCGGAUUGGAGUCUGCAACUCGACUCCAUGAAGUCGGAAUCGCUAGUAAUCGUGGAUCAGAAUGCCACGGUGAAUACGUUCCCGGGUCUUGUACACACCG
RNAcentral lists this ribosomal RNA (438 nucleotides) under uncultured bacterium. Its description in RNAcentral is "bacterial SSU rRNA". It matches the Rfam family "Bacterial small subunit ribosomal RNA", at positions 954 to 1392 of the family's 1533-position model. The record is from RNAcentral.